This 504-nucleotide ribosomal RNA is filed under the name uncultured bacterium. Its description in RNAcentral is "bacterial SSU rRNA". It matches the Rfam family "Bacterial small subunit ribosomal RNA", at positions 8 to 522 of the family's 1533-position model. The record is from RNAcentral.
AGAGUUUGAUCAUGGCUCAGGAUGAACGCUAGCGGCAGGCCUAAUACAUGCAAGUCAAGGGGCUCCGCAAGGGGCACCGGCGCACGGGUGCGUAACGCGUACAUAACCUACCCUGAAGAGGGGGAUAGCAUCGGGAAACUGGUGGUAAUACCCCAUGAGCUUAUGAGGUGGCAUUACCUUAUAAGGAAAGUUACAGCGCUUUGGGAUGGAUGUGCGUCCGAUUAGCUAGUUGGCGGGGUAACGGCCCACCAAGGCGACGAUCGGUAGGGGUUCUGAGAGGAUUAUCCCCCACACUGGUACUGAGACACGGACCAGACUCCUACGGGAGGCAGCAGUAAGGAAUAUUGGUCAAUGGACGCAAGUCUGAACCAGCCAUGCCGCGUGCAGGAUGACGGCCUUAUGGGUUGUAAACUGCUUUUAUACACCAAGAAAACUUUCACGUGUGGGAGCUUGACGGUAGUGUAUGAAUAAGCAUCGGCUAACUCCGUGCCAGCCGCCGCGGUG